GCCAGCAUAGCCUAGUGGUUUGUGUGUUGGGCUAGGACUCUGGUGACCAGGGUUUGAAUCCCUGCUUAGCCA
Non-coding RNA from Phrynosoma platyrhinos (Desert horned lizard), 72 nucleotides. The record is from the annotation of a GenBank genome assembly. NCBI's taxonomy places the organism in Eukaryota, Metazoa, Chordata, Lepidosauria, Squamata, Phrynosomatidae.